GGUUAACUUCUUUGUAUUCUUUGUACUCUUACAAGAUAAUUGGAGACAUCAAAAUACAACCAUGUGCAAAAGAAGCUUCUUUUCAGCUUGAGUCGCAUGUUGCACUAAGCUUUAGGAAAGAGACUAUUAUGAAAAAAGCAAAAGAAAAGACAAAUGAAUUAUUGAGUCCAGGACAUUUCUUCACAGCUUCUACCAAUCUAGAAUUUGGCCUCUAAAAAUAAGGACAAGUCAGCAUUGAAAUGGGCAAAGGCGUAUUCCACCAGCGCAGCAAAGACAAAGACAUAACAGAUCCAGAAGUAGACAUCCAAA
Molecule: non-coding RNA, 309 nt
Organism: Python bivittatus (Burmese python)
Lineage: Eukaryota; Metazoa; Chordata; Lepidosauria; Squamata; Pythonidae
Source: RefSeq, a predicted model, not a curated record